Molecule: long non-coding RNA, 3611 nt
Filed under: Marmota monax (woodchuck)
Lineage: Eukaryota; Metazoa; Chordata; Mammalia; Rodentia; Sciuridae
Source: RNAcentral
GUGGUCAAGCAUCGGACUUGGAAGAAACAGUCUAAAAUGGCUUUCUUAAUAGUUCAGAACUGAUAAGCAACAACUAAUCUGUAUCAGAAUGUUAAUCUAUACUGAUUUUUAGUAAAGUUGAUCAUUAUUAAGCCAUAAAUUCACUAACUAUAUUGGACAAAAUGUCAGCAGAUACUACUGUAUGACGAUAGUGCUUGUGUAACAGUACAUAAAGAUGUAACCUAUGCUCUGCGGCAACUGAAUGUACCAUGGUUGUCGCUCCCUCUGUGUGUGUGUGUGUGUACACAUGAGUGUGAGCACACGUUAGCGCAGAUCAACUGGGACUGUUGUUAAAUGCCCCUCAGUCAUGGUCAGCAUAACCAUCAUCUUCAAAUCGUCUUUAUCUGCCUAUGAGUUGUCUGUCUGCCAUUCAGCCACAUGGGUGGUAAUCUCCCACUCAGUCCAGGAGUCAUGGUCAACAUCUCAAGGGUCACAGGAGUCAUGUUCUACAUCUCGAGGGUCAGAGGAGUCACAGGCUCCAUCUUGAGAAUACACUUAGUGUCAGUUCACCCACGUUGUCGGCAAAUUGUGUGGGAUGACUGAAUGGGGGAAUGUGAACCACUCUUGCAAAUUCAGAUGCAAAAGGAUCAUCUAAUAUAGGAGACUAUUGCUCACUUUUCUUUGCUUAUUUUUAAGACAGAAAUGUUAAUGUUAAUUUCAGGAUAAUGAGGAAUUGAUAUUAGGAUUGAGAAGCAUGAGAAUUAGCAAUUAGUGCUAUCAAGAAUGAUUCAGAGUAAAUACACAGGGAAAUACAUAUUGAGCUAUAAAUCACAUGCACUUCUGGAAAUUUUAGUAUUUUAAGUAUUUCUUGAUUAGGAAAAACUGAGUGUGUCUCUUGUAAUUUCAGGUUUUGAUGAAGAAAAACAAAGAAAUCCCUUAUGAAAGUAAAGAAUGGCCUCCCAUGUGUUUUAAGGCUGAAUUCAUGACAGAUAUUUUUCUGAACUGAGUUAAUUUGACCAAACUAAUCCACGGCUCCUCUAAACACUCCAAACCUGUGUUGGAGAGCCUCCGAGUCAUUGACACUGAAGCACACCACUGAACAGUAUUGACACCAUUGUGAAAUCACCCUGUGCCAAGCUGAGCUGAAGGAUCUCCACACCUGUUGGCUCUUUGGUCUGCAGUCAACUCAGGAAGUGAGGAGCUGUAAAGCCCCUUUUCCACCACUGACCAAGUGUCAGCAGCAAACCAUCAGUUAGUGGGGGAAGGGUGCCCUGGGUGGUCUCAGUUCCCUCUGUGUUCUCACCCAUCACACAGGACAAUAGCUAGAUAGUGAUUGUAGCUAUCAAGUAAAACAUGAGAGCCAAGUGGUCUAUUACAUUUUUAGCUAUAUGUAAUUGAACAGAGUCCCUUUAAUUUUUAUUUUUUUUUUUUUAUUUUUUGGUACUGGGGAUUGAACCCAGGGACAUUUUACCACUAGGCUGCAUCCCCAGCCCAUUUUAGUUCUUAUUUUGAGACAAGGACUCACUAAGUUGCUAGGCUGGUCUUGAACUUGCCUUCCUCCUGCCUCAGCCUCCCGAGUUUUGGGGAUUACAGGCAUGCACCACUGCACCCAGCUAAAAGUAAAAGCAAUUUCUGACAACUGUUUCUCUGUAUCUGCUAAUGUCCUCAUGAUGAGAGCCAAAAACUGAAAAACUAACUAUGGCCCCUGGGGGCAGCCAGGAAACUGAGACUGCCAUGAUCUCUAGCCAGCCCAGCCAAAAUAAAUCUCUGCACCCAGAACUCCUGGCUUUGGUUCUAUUAAGUUAUGCUUCUAUGGGACCAGGGAGAAAUGACAUAGCUGCUUCUCCCCAGCUUUGUCAAAGUGCACAAAAUUCAUUUUUUUCCUUUUGUAACAUUUUCUUAUACAGAUGGAUAAUUGAAUCCUGCCAAUAGGAUCCAGGCAGGGUCCCUGGCCGGGCUCCAAAUAACAUAAUCAUUCAAUUGAUCAGUGAAAAUUAUUCAUAAUUUAGAGAUAUCAUAAGUUAUUUUAAUCAGAACUGCUGUUUCUUAAGAGUGCAAGCAAUGUUGACCACAUUUAUUUAUUUUUUCUAAUUUUAUAAUCUUUAGUGCCAGGUUUCAUAAAUUUCCUUGAUACUAGGUACAGUUUCAUAAUUAUUUACAAUCGGUCUUAUUUUCUUUUUGCAUUCUCUAGCCAUCAUUAAUGGAGCCCAUUAUAAUACAUAUGUGAAGGGAAAUGCUGUCCACUCAUGGGAUGUCCUAGGCAGCAGUCUUGGUUCACUUAAGUCCUAUCAUACACUAAAACCUCAAUAACACAGAGAACUGAGUGUUGUAGUGUACUCAAAUGCCAUUCUCUGCUCUGUUCCUACUCACUCCUAAAUAUUCUUUAAAACUUUGUCUGCUAUGCCUCCUUUUUCUAUGCCAGCUUGCUGUGUGUGCCUAGUGGUGAAAUGCCAGGGCUAAUUCUAAGGACUGGUCCUUUCUCCAGCUUGACAGUCUUCUGCUGCUUGCUCACAGAGGUCUAACUUGUCAGAGAGCAGACUUCCUCAGUGUGAACUGGGACUCUAAAUCAAACACCUGGUUAGAUCAUACACUCUGGGGGAGCAGAGGAUCUGCACUGGUUGAAUAGCUGGGUGUCAGUUGCAUCUUUUGAUGUGGCUUAGUAUUUAAGAAUGUAUCAGGAAGCAUCUGGAGUGAGCCCCUUUACACAGGGAUCCACUCCUGUAGUCAAGGAGCAGAUGUGCAGUGAGACAGAGUCAGCAUUAGAUGAACCAAGUUCUUCCAUUGUGACACUGAUGAAUCCUGUGGCCUUGGACUCCCCUCAAACACUAUGAACCUGGUACCUGCUCCUAUUAGGUUGGGAUCACAAAAUAUUCAGGCUGAUUUAGGAUUAAAUUAAGAAAUUUUUACCUACAGGUGAAAAUAUUUCCUACAGUGGAAAGUAAAAUGUCAGUGUUAUACAUAUGUGUGUGAAUUAUUUCAAAACUGUUAGUAAAUAUGUGAGAGUCUCCAGUCUCUUCAUUGAAGCAAUCAACAUAUGCUACUAAGAUGCAUGGAUUUGAAUUGCAAAUACCUGCUGUUCUUCAGGUAUGUAAACCCAGACAAUCCAGAGAGUGAAGAAAUGUCCACAGUCAGAUCCUGUAACCUUUUCCACAGAAUAUUUCUUUACUUGAAGGAAAUGGCAUUUCACAGAAAUUCUCAGGAAACUGAAUAUAUUGUUAUUAAGCCUGAAGAAAAUCUGAAUGUCUUUCAGGGGCAUAUAUAUGCUCAACCUGAAAAUAACAAGAACAAGAGAAAAAACAUACAGGACAACAUUGGCAAGAAUUUAUCUGAUAAACCUCUCAGGCUGACUUCAAUUACCUCUCAUCACACAGUGCCACAUACUGGGGAAGGGAAUGCAUGUGUUCCACCCCGACACCCACAGAUGGCCACUCCUGCUUCACAAGGGACACAUGGCUGCUUGAGCUCCUGUGCCACAAAUUUCUUCCUCCCACGUUGCUGCAAUUGGAAGUUGUAAGGUCAGGCAUGGGUGACCAAAAGGAGGCAGAUUAAAAGGCUGCUGAACGAGGCUUUAUUGAGAUUCACUCCCAGGCGAGACCACCCAGUCCAACAGAGCCUAUCUGGGGAAUCGCGUG